GAUAAACGCUGGCGGCGUGCCUAACACAUGCAAGUCGAACGCUCUCUGGCAACAGAGGGAGUGGCGGACGGGUGAGUAACACAUGGGAAUCGACCCAUUCGUGAGGAAUACCACCGAGAAAUCGGUGACAAUACCGCAUGAGCUCGGGAGACCGAGGAAAGCUCUUCGCAAGAGGGGCGCGAGUGGACGAGCCUGUGCCUGAUUAGUUAGUUGGUGGGGUAAGAGCCUACCAAGACUGCGAUCAGUCGCUGGUCUGAGAGGAUGAUCAGCCACACUGGGAUUGAGAACGGCCCAGACUCCUACGGGGGGCGAC
Molecule: ribosomal RNA, 313 nt
Filed under: uncultured bacterium
Lineage: Bacteria
Description: bacterial SSU rRNA
Rfam family: Bacterial small subunit ribosomal RNA
Source: RNAcentral